GCCGGUGUGGUCUAGUGGUUUGAGCAUUGGACUACAACUCUGGAGACCAGGGUUUGAAUCCUGGCUCGGCCA
RNAcentral lists this transfer RNA (72 nucleotides) under Phrynosoma platyrhinos (Desert horned lizard). Its description in RNAcentral is "tRNA-OTHER". The record is from RNAcentral. Lineage: Eukaryota; Metazoa; Chordata; Lepidosauria; Squamata; Phrynosomatidae.